AUGAACUCUAGGAAUUAGAGAACUCGACAAGUGUGGCAUUAAGGACUAGAUGGCAUGAAAACUAUGAAUCCUAGAUGUGGACGACUAGGAUAGAAAAGAAUUGAUUGGACAUUAAACCUAGUGUCAUUGAACAUAGGUUGGACAUUGAACCUAGAGUUGGGUGAACCUAGGUGGAAGAACAUAGGACCUAGUGUCACGCCCCGGGACCGGCGGAGGCCCUCCCGGUAGCGUGCCCAGACCCGCCAUAUGUCUACACAUAUAAGGCGUCUACGAUAAAAGCGAAAGUAAAAGCAAGAGAUAGAACAAAUAUAAGAAAUGAAAUAACUAGCAACUAGAGAUAUCAGAGCAAGUUCUAUCAUCUGCACCAAAGUAGAGAAAUAAAGCUAGUCAAACAAGGAUAACCAUAAGUAGUACCAUAUCUGUCUCUAGUACAAAAAUGGUGGUCUCUACACAAAUACGGGUACAACUCUCAACCCCUCACAAAAGAAAACACGAGAGGUAGACCACCUAUCGAACGAUCCCUCGGUAAGCGCGCUAGCCCGAGGCGAUACCCUUUCCGCGAUCCCUGGCCUCACCCUGAGUGGAAGGCUCUGAAAAACAUCGAGAAAAAGAGGGCGUGAGAACUAUAAUUUAUAGUUCCCAGUGGGCAAUUACUGACCUCAGCUCUAUGCACCACUAGGCCCCAAAAGAAAA
This 693-nucleotide long non-coding RNA is filed under the name Ananas comosus (pineapple). RNAcentral describes it as "long non-coding RNA (ACOM_LNC003663)". Lineage: Eukaryota; Viridiplantae; Streptophyta; Magnoliopsida; Poales; Bromeliaceae. The record is from RNAcentral.